Molecule: RNA transcript, 1085 nt
Organism: Rhodamnia argentea
Lineage: Eukaryota; Viridiplantae; Streptophyta; Magnoliopsida; Myrtales; Myrtaceae
Gene name: eukaryotic initiation factor 4A
Exons: 8
Source: RefSeq, a predicted model, not a curated record
GAUUUUCCGCAGAUUGAACGAAUUGACAAAAACGCGAUCCUUGUGUUCUCCAAAGAGGUCGGUCAGAGAAUUGGACAGGUGAAAGGAAGUCGAUGGCCAUAGAUGCAGUGGAAGAUUCCUCGAUUCCCUCUCCCUCUUCUUCGUAUUCCAUUCCCAGUCAACCGCGUCACUUCUACGUCGCCGUCGACCGUCUCCAGUUCAAGAUGGAGACGCUGGUGGAUUUGCUGGGCGUCGCGGGUCGGCGGCCGGGCCUGCCGGUGGUGGUGUCCUGCAGCUCUCGCGACGAGCUCGACGCCGUCUGCUGCGCCAUCUCCAAUCUCCCUUUCAUCUCUCUGGCCUCUCUGUACAGUGACCUGGCUGAAACCGAACGUGCUCUUGUUCUUGAUGGGUUUCGGCAGUCCACUUUGCAUUGGAACCAAAGUGUUGUUGUCCAAUCUGGAAAUGACAUAAAAGCAGUUGAAGACGUUGAGCAAAAGUCUCAUAUUGUUGUUGUUACGGAUGCUUGCCUCCCACUUCUAACUUCUGGGGAGUCGCCACUUUCUGCGCGAGUUUUAAUCAAUUAUGAGUUGCCAACAAAAAAGGAAACAUAUAUGAGGCGAAUGGCAGCUUGUUUGGCAGCUGAUGGGAUUGUCAUCAACAUGAUUGUUGGGGGUGAAGUGGUAAUUCUGAAAAGCCUGGAAGAAAGUAGCAAUAUUCUCAUAGCUGAGAUGCCUAUCAACGUUUCGGAGAUAUUGUGAAGAUCUUUGAAUCAAACCGAAAUGCAUGCGACUUCCUUUGGCUGCAACUGGUUGAUGAGGUUCUUGUGCUCACAAGUGUUGCUUUAUGAGCAGUUGCUAUGAAUCGUUGAGGCAUAAACGUGUGUAGACUAUGUAUGAGAUUGAAUCACCAUGUUUUGGUACCAUGCAUAGUUUUUUGCUGUUCCUCAGUGGAUUCACAUCGCUCUCUCAUGGUGUAUAAGCUUUGUUUCUGGUCUCCAACCUAAUGACGUCCAGAGAAUGUCAAGCUGCGUGUUAAAUUGCUCGUCAUAGUCAUUGCCAUCGCCAUCCCUAUCGCUCUACCAAUACAAUGACUUCUCUCUUUUGCCA